UUGGCCUCUAAUCAAGCCUCGCAGUUUUCUGAAGCUGUUGGCUUCAAGCAGGAGUUUAAAGUGAUAUUUUCCUGUGGUCUCUUGGCCAUAUUAGAACUUUAGCAGUGUAAUUCAUUAUAAAGGAACAGCU
Fukomys damarensis (Damara mole-rat) is the source of this 130-nucleotide small nucleolar RNA. The record is from Ensembl. Lineage: Eukaryota; Metazoa; Chordata; Mammalia; Rodentia; Bathyergidae.